This 74-nucleotide transfer RNA is filed under the name Acidobacteriota bacterium. Its description in RNAcentral is "Acidobacteria bacterium (activated sludge metagenome) tRNA-Pro". It matches the Rfam family "tRNA". From Rfam's summary of the family: Transfer RNA (tRNA) molecules are approximately 80 nucleotides in length. Lineage: Bacteria; Pseudomonadati; Acidobacteriota. RNAcentral also lists the same sequence under 1 other name. The record is from RNAcentral.
CGGGGAGUGGCGUAGUCUGGUAACGCGCUUGGUUUGGGACCAAGAGACCGGUGGUUCGAAUCCACUCUCCCCGA